CCCUUAGAUGUUCUGGGCCGCACGCGCGCUACACUGUUCGACGCAGCGAGUCUUAACCUUGACCGAAAGGUUUGGGUAAUCUUCAGCAAAGUCGAACGUGAUGGGGAUCGAUCAUUGCAAUUAUUGAUCGUGAACGAGGAAUUCCUAGUAAGUGCAAGUCAUCAGCUUGCGCUGAUUACGUCCCUGCCCUUUGUACACAGCGCCCGUCGCACCUACCGAUUGAAUGGUCCGGUGAAAUCUUCGGAUUGAGACUUUGAUUUCUUCACGGAAAACGCUGUUUUAAAAAGUUGAUUAAACCUUACCAUUUAGAGGAAGGUGAAGUCGUAACA
Molecule: ribosomal RNA, 329 nt
Filed under: uncultured eukaryote
Lineage: Eukaryota
Description: partial 18S ribosomal RNA
Rfam family: Eukaryotic small subunit ribosomal RNA
Source: RNAcentral